Molecule: RNA transcript, 2211 nt
Organism: Sorghum bicolor (sorghum)
Lineage: Eukaryota; Viridiplantae; Streptophyta; Magnoliopsida; Poales; Poaceae
Gene name: calreticulin-3
Exons: 13
Source: RefSeq, a predicted model, not a curated record
CCAGUCGCCCACCGAGAGUGGUAGGAAAGCUCGUCGCCGUACGGGGCUCGGCUCAGGUGAGAGCGAGCGUCGGGUACUGAGGCCGGAGGCGAUGCCGAUGGGCCGCCUCCGCGACGGGCGAGCCUUCCUCCACCGCGCGCUGGUCCUCUCGUCGCUGCUGCUCCUCGCCUCGGGCGAAAUCUUCUUCGAGGAGCGGUUCGAUGAUGGUUGGGAUAGCCGUUGGGUGAAAUCUGAUUGGAAGAAGAGCCAAGGACAAACCGGAACCUUCAGACACACAGCAGGAACCUAUUCUGGAGAUCCUGACGAUAAAGGUAUACAAACAACUGGGGAUGCCAAACAUUUUGCUAUAUCGGCAAAAUUCCCAGAAUUUAGUAACAAGGACCGGACAUUGGUGAUCCAGUACUCUCUAAAGAUUGAGCAAGACAUUGAAUGUGGUGGUGCUUACAUCAAACUUAUGUCUGGUUAUCUCAACCAGAAGAAGUUUGGCGGCGACACUCCUUACAGCUUCAUGUUUGGGCCUGAUAUAUGUGGGGAUCAGAAAAAGAAGCUUCAUCUCAUACUUUCAUACCAAGGGCAAAACUACCCUAUCAAGAAAGAUCUAAAAUGCGAAGCAGACAAGUUGACACAUUUUUACACAUUUAUUCUAAGACCUGAUGCCACUUAUAGCAUCCUUAUUGAUAACCGGGAGAGAGAAUUUGGAAGCAUGUACACUGACUGGGAUAUCCUUCCUCCUCGUAAGAUCAAAGAUGUUAAUGCGAAAAAGCCAAAAGACUGGGAUGACAGGGAAUAUAUUGAAGAUCCUGAUCAAGUUAAGCCAGAGGGAUAUGAUUCAAUUCCUAAACAGAUACCUAAUCCAAAGGACAAAAAGCCUGAGUCAUGGGAUGAUGACGAAGACGGUACAUGGAAGCCCAGAAUGAUACCUAAUCCAGAAUACAAGGGACCAUGGAAGCGGAAGAAAAUUAAGAAUCCUAACUACAAAGGAAAAUGGAAGACCCCGUGGAUUGACAAUCCAGAGUUUGAGGAUGACCCAGACCUAUAUGUUUUGAAACCUUUGCAGUAUGUGGGGAUUGAAGUCUGGCAGGUCAAAGCUGGUUCGGUUUUUGACAACAUUUUGAUUUGCGAUGAUCCAGACUAUGCAAGACAUGUUGUAGAUGAAACUUUUGCUGCAAAUAAGGAGGCUGAAAAAGAGGCCUUUGAAGGAGCUGAAAGGAAGAGGAAGGCUAGAGAAGAAGAGGAAGCACGGCGAGCACGGGAGGAAGGGGAGAGACGAAGGCGGGAGAGGGAUAGGGACCGUGGCAGGGACCGUUACAGGGAUAGAUAUAAGGUACAUUUCUUCCAUUUUCCAUACUGGAUCCCUUUUCCCUGUUGCAAUUAUGUUUGUCUUGUCCUUAGGACCUUCUUUCCCUCCAUUCUAAUUUAUAAUACAUUUUGGCUUUUCUAGAUACAUAACUUUUGCUAUGCACUUAGAUAUACACUAUGUCUAUAUAUAAGUAUAGUUAAAGCCAAAACGUCUUAUAAUUUGGAAUGGGGUAGUUCAAUAUUCCAUCCCCUUAAUUUACACUAGCCUUCUUAAGGAUUAUUAUCUCGCCAAAAGUUUCAGGCUACUACUGGUCCUUGCUUCCCUGUAGAUCAGUGAUAUAAAUCACUGCACGAAUAAUAUGACAAUAUAAUAGACGUGGCCCGCACACCUAUGAAGAAUUUCAGCAUCUUCACUCCAGUGAACAAAUUUAGCAAAAUAUGUGCCAAGUAUUCAUAGCUCUUAGCUGCACAGUCAGUCUCAGUAAUAUGGCCCAGUGCUUUAUAUAUCAACCAUAUGCUAACAUAUUGUUUCUUUCCUCUGCAUUUGCAGCGCCAUAGACACUACGACUACCAUGACGAGCUAUAGAUCAUGUGUUUUGAAAUCUGCACGUUAUUGGUUGUCUAUGGAACUGGGCCUUGAUGAUUGUGUCAAUAAGGUGUACCACUUCAGGGCGAGCACAGAUGUUUGAAGUCCUUAACCGUACUGUUACAGUCGUUGAGAGCACACGCACACGUGCAGAACUUGUAUGUUGUACACACGAAUCAAGCUGAAUUUGUGAUUUUUGGCGAUGGGUAGAGAUUGACCAUCGCGGCUGUAACUAAAUUUCCCCAUUGCGAGGCAAUAUGAGCUGUAGUAUCCUUGCACUAUCAUUUACCUCGAAAUGUUAUAUUCGUGCUGCAUACGUUGAUAAA